GAUGAACGCUGGCGGCGUGCCUAAUACAUGCAAGUCGAGCGAACAGAUGAGGAGCUUGCUCCUCUGACGUUAGCGGCGGACGGGUGAGUAACACGUGGAUAACCUACCUAUCAGACUGGGAUAACUUCGGGAAACCGGAGCUAAUACCGGAUAAUAUAUUGAACCGCAUGGUUCAAUAGUGAAAGACGGUUUUGCUGUCACUUAUAGAUGGAUCCGCGCCGCAUUAGCUAGUUGGUAAGGUAACGGCUUACCAAGGCAACGAUGCGUAGCCGACCUGAGAGGGUGAUCGGCCACCCUGGAACUGAGACACGGUCCAGACUCCUACGGGAGGCAGCAGUAGGGAAUCUUCCGCAAUGGGCGAAAGCCUGACGGAGCAACGCCGCGUGAGUGAUGAAGGUCUUCGGAUCGUAAAACUCUGUUAUUAGGGAAGAACAAAUGUGUAAGUAACUAUGCACGUCUUGACGGUACCUAAUCAGAAAGCCACGGCUAACUACGUG
RNAcentral lists this ribosomal RNA (497 nucleotides) under uncultured bacterium. RNAcentral's name for it is "partial 16S ribosomal RNA". It matches the Rfam family "Bacterial small subunit ribosomal RNA", at positions 28 to 507 of the family's 1533-position model. The record is from RNAcentral.